Molecule: long non-coding RNA, 281 nt
Organism: Bubalus bubalis (water buffalo)
Lineage: Eukaryota; Metazoa; Chordata; Mammalia; Artiodactyla; Bovidae
Exons: 3
Source: RefSeq, a predicted model, not a curated record
UUUCAACCUUACAAUUUCUAAGACUUGUGACUUAUCUAUAUGAUCUCUCUUGGUGGAUGUUCUGCAUGACUUUGAAAAGAAUGUUCCUUGUUCCUUUAUUUCUCUCUUGCUGUGUUCCUUUCUGGAUUGGUGAUUUCCGUAGUGUUUGACUUCCUUCUGUGAAAUCAAGAUAAUGAGUCAUCAUACUCCCUUAGAUAAUAAUUCUCAAGAAGCUUUUGUUGUGUGUGUAUGGUGUGGAAUGAAAUUGUACUACAAGCAAAUUUGACUUGGCAAAGCCUGUA